GAGGAAACAGCGAAUACGUCAUGGCCAAGGCAACCGGCGCAAUGACACGCAGGGAAGUAGGGGUGAGAGGGCCGGUUAACGCGACACCGUCACACAUUCAGCGGCCUCCCCUGCUCCGGUGGAAACAACCUAAGUCUGUCCAGACUCUCCUUAUGACUCAGGCCCUCCAAUCCGGGAGCAUCCUGGUGAACCUCUUCUGCACCCCCUUCACGCCCGUCCCGUAAUGGGGCGACCAAAACUGAACGCAGACUGCAAACGGCGGAACUGGCAUUUUAUAAGGCUGCAACUUAACUAAUAAAGGCAAGCAUGCCCUCUGGAACUGGUCAUUUCAAACCUGGGGCGCAGGCAUUGACUAUCAAAUCCAGAGACCACCAAUGCUUCCCCAGCCUGUGCAUUUGGUCAGAAUUGCCCGGGGGGCUGGAAACGACUAUUAAAAUUAAUCCUGAGCCUUACACGACCAGGGAGAUUUGCGCAAUGAGAUCCAUACUUGUGUAUCAGCAUGAAUGACAGACAGGAGAGCAGUUCCUGCACGUGAAGACAGCAGCAUGCACUGCGGGCGAAAGGGACCCCACAAAAGCUGGAAUCCUGGUAAGUAACAUUAUUUCUUCAUGUAGUUCUGUAGUUGUGAACUUCCCAUGAUUCAGGACAUUUACAAAGACAGGUGUGAACGGAUCAUUGGGAAUCCGAAUCACCCCAAACACAACCUAUACCGUCUGGGAAACGGUAGUACAGCAUAAAAUCCAGGACCAACAGGCUCCCGGACAGCUUCUUCCACCAGGCCAUUAGACUGAUUAACAAACGCUGAUUCUAUGUUACAUGGACUAUUCCAUUUAAUAGAAAAUUACUGUGAUUGCACAUUUAAAUGAAGACGUAAUGUAAAAAAAUUUUAUUCCUCAUGUAUAUGAAGAAUGUAAAAAAUAAAGUCAAUUCAAUUCAAUAUUUGCAAACUGUCCCAGACUCCAUGAAAGACUGUCAUUGAAACCCUUGUAAGUUCAAUUGAAUUAACCAUGAAUCAGGGUAUCAUAUGCUGCUCUUGAAUAGGGAUUUGGAGGUGGUUACCGAGGUGCAAUAAAUGGUACAGGUGGACAGUGUGGUCAAGCAGGCAUUCGGCAUGCUGGCCUUCAUCAAUCCGGGCACUAAGUACAGGAGUUGGGAUGAUGUUACAGCCCUACAAGUUGUUGAUGAGACUGCUCUUGGAGUACUGUGUGCAGUCCUGGUCACUCCGCUACAGAAAGGAUGUCAUUAACCUUGAGAGGGUUCAGAAAAGAUUGAUGCGGAUGUUACUGGGACUGGAGGGCUUGAGUUACAAGGAGAGGUUGGGCAGGCUACGACUGUUUUCCUGGAGUGAAGGGGGCUGAGGGGCG
Molecule: long non-coding RNA, 1364 nt
Organism: Hypanus sabinus (Atlantic stingray)
Lineage: Eukaryota; Metazoa; Chordata; Chondrichthyes; Myliobatiformes; Dasyatidae
Exons: 3
Source: RefSeq, a predicted model, not a curated record